This is a non-coding RNA of Ilex paraguariensis (yerba mate), 114 nucleotides long. The record is from the annotation of a GenBank genome assembly. NCBI's taxonomy places the organism in Eukaryota, Viridiplantae, Streptophyta, Magnoliopsida, Aquifoliales, Aquifoliaceae.
GCGAUCAUAUUAGCAUUAAUGCACUGGAUCCCAUCAAAACUCCGCAGUUAAGCGUGCUUGGGUAACAGUAGUUCUAGGAUGCGUGACCCUCUGGGAAGUCUUCGUGUUGCCCCC